Molecule: long non-coding RNA, 684 nt
Organism: Notolabrus celidotus (New Zealand spotty)
Lineage: Eukaryota; Metazoa; Chordata; Actinopteri; Labriformes; Labridae
Exons: 4
Source: RefSeq, a predicted model, not a curated record
UUUCUCGGGUAUUUAAACCCCCGAAAGGAGAGCAGACCAGCAGCUGAGCUGAGAGCAAGCAGCGCAUCACUUCUCCUGCAGAUCAAGAAACCUCAUCAAGAGUUCCUCAGACUUGAAGAUGUCAGCCCUCAACAGAGAGAUUGUGCAAAAGGGCCUAGGGAUUGGCAAAGGAGAACCGACUGACACCUCUGACCGACCUGCCAGAGCUUAUGCCGAAGCUGUGUAUGCUGGUGCUGGGAAAAUUAAAGAGGGCGACAAGGAAGGAGCGUACGCUGGUGCAGGGUUAUACCAUGCUUGAGGUGAAUGGCGUGGGUUUGAUGCUGAGGCAAGUGGACCCAACGCCAGCGCAGGAUACCAAUUCUCUAAUGAGUCUGCUAAAGUCAUGACCAAAGCAGAGGUGGUCAGUGCUUCAGCCUCUGCUGGUCCUGCCAAAGCUACAGUCGGUCUGGCACUCGAUACUGGAGUUGGAGUCGGGAAGUCCGGCAUAGAAGCAAAGGUUCUGGGGACGGGCUUCUCCAUUGGUCGCAAAACUGGCAUUUCACUGUUUGGUACUGGGUUUGAAAUUGAUUUGGAAAGUGGUGACUCUGUAACAGAAACAGCUCUGUGUGAUUUUUAUCGUCCUGGCGAUUGUUCCAACAAUAAAAUCACUUCCCUUGUAUCAAAGUUGAAUUUUUUAUAUUCUGA